This is a long non-coding RNA of Oncorhynchus tshawytscha (Chinook salmon), 1551 nucleotides long. NCBI's taxonomy places the organism in Eukaryota, Metazoa, Chordata, Actinopteri, Salmoniformes, Salmonidae. The record is from Ensembl.
UUUUGUUCCAAGUGGCCCUUCCUUCUUCACUCCACUAUAGUAUCAUUGUGCAGGUUUAUGGUCAGUUACCACCACUGCAGGCUUGUCAGACUUCUAGGGGCUAGGGAAGUUCCAUUAGAAGAGAUGAGAACAUAGUCGAUUGUGAGACUCACACACAAACUAUAGUGCAGUUGUCAUCAACAAUACUAGUGAGUUAUGGUUUCAGAUUUCAAGCCCAUUUUAAAUGGCAUUUAGUCCAAGUCUGGUCAGGGAUCUUAACUUGGGCUCCAGGGGUCUAAGUAGUAGAGUGGAUUACAGUGACGGCCAAAGGGCUUUGUCUCCAGUAAUUGUCCUGUCCCUUACCUCUCACAGGGCACGGAGCCGUCACUUACAUAUAUUCACAUUUCUCAAAGCUUAAACCUGGCUACAACUUGUUUGUCUUGCCAGCUUAAAUGUAUGUUUGUUCGUUAGAAUGAACUGCAUAGCCUGUCAGUAACCAAGGAUGGCCUAUUUCUCAGACUACAGCUUGACUAGCCAUUAAGCUUUUGAUUAACUAAACACAUACCUUGUAGAUUAAGUUUACAGUAUGUUUAUUUACAUGUUGCAACAAUUUAUUUGUAAUGCAACAAUUUGCCUGUAGGGUCUGAGAUUUAAUUGGCCUUAGUGCCUCAAUGUAGUCUGGGGGUAGGGCUGUAUCAAACCUGCAUGUAGACAGCUCUGUCAUAUACAAAUAUGUUGUGGAAUUAUAUUUCUAUUUCACAUCUUUGUAAAAUAGAAACAUAUCAAGAAAUCUGUGUGCCGCAAUUCCACAGGCCCAUACUAACUGUCCUUAAUUUCUCUCCUACAGCAGUACUGCUUUGCCAGUCCUGUACUGCAGUCUCUUAAGGGUGCAGCAACUCAUCCUGUGAAGUCAAGAUCUACAUUUACGAAGUUGGAAUAGCAGUGGACUCCAAGGUCAAACUAGCGACUGUUCAGUAGCAUGUGGCCAGUUCCCCUGAAACUAAGGUAUUGAUCGUAUGGAUCUAAAAGUUGCCUCCACUGCCCCUCAGGUAUACGUGUUACUACAUAUAUAUAGAUAUACUCUCCCUGCCCUGGGUUACAUAAAGUAGCUACACAUUUAUCUCACAGAACAUUCCUAGAUUUGGUUUAAAAAAUCUUGACUUCAUUUUCUUAAAAUGCUAUCAGUAAUUCGCACUCUGGGGGAUAUUUUAUUUAUUUUUACUUUGAAGUUUGAGCCCCAGGAGGAUUUUUCUUUUGUGACGUAAAUAAAACAAAUCACAGGUGGUAUGCUUAUGUGUGUGAGUUCCAACCCUUUUCCAAAGUGUUACUAAUGGUAAAUAGACAUUUUCUAGGCUUCUUUUCUGCCGGUUGAAGUCUGACUGCAGAAGGACCCUUGGCACUGAAAGUGUACGUAUUCUGGAGAGCACAGCCCAGGACCCCUGCAUCAGUGAUGGCUUUAUCCUCUCCUGUUAUCUCCUUGAAAGAAAGACAAAACAACCUCCGCUGUUUCUCAAUGUAUCUGCCUGUUUUUUUUUUAGACAGCUAUGUUUGUAUGUAAGGCAAGCAAGAGAG